This 931-nucleotide ribosomal RNA is filed under the name Odorrana tianmuii. RNAcentral's name for it is "partial large subunit ribosomal RNA". It matches the Rfam family "Bacterial large subunit ribosomal RNA", at positions 974 to 2542 of the family's 2925-position model. Lineage: Eukaryota; Metazoa; Chordata; Amphibia; Anura; Ranidae. The record is from RNAcentral.
AACUUAAGAGUUAUUCAAAUUAGGCACAGCUUAUUUGAAACAGGAUACAACCUCAACCAUUGGGUAAACAAGGGUAAUAAAAAUAAAGUGGGCCCAAAAGCAGCCACCUUCCAAAAAGCGUCAAAGCUUAAUUACUCAAGCCCGUAAUUUCCAAAACACUCUACAACCCCUCAUCUAUACUGAACUAUUUUAUAUAUAUAUAUAAAAAUAAUUAUGCUAGAACUAGUAACAAGAAGUUACCCUUCUCCUUAAUGUGAGCAUACACCAAAACGGACACUCCAUUGGUAGUUAACGUAGAUGCAAAACCAUAAUAACAUAACCAGAAAACCUUAUGGCCACCCAACGUUACCCUUACACCAGAGCAUUACAGGAAAGAUUAAAAGAAAGAGAAGGAACUCGGCAAAUUUUAACCCCGCCUGUUUACCAAAAACAUCGCCUCUUGAUUAAAAAUAAGAGGUCCAGCCUGCCCAGUGAUAAUAUUAAACGGCCGCGGUAUACUAACCGUGCGAAGGUAGCAUAAUCACUUGUUCUUUAAAUGGGGACUUGUAUCAACGGCAUCACGAGGGUUAUACUGUCUCCUCUCUCCAAUCAGUGAAACUGAUCCCCCCGUGAAGAAGCGGGGAUUUUAUUAUAAGACGAGAAGACCCCAUGGAGCUUUAAACUCGACAUACACCAAGGCACUAAAACACCAAUUUAACCCAAAAACCUGUACGUCAGUUUUAGGCUGGGGGGGCCACGGAGUAAAACUAAACCUCCACAACAAAUGGGCUAACACCCUUAUUUAAGAUUUACAAAUCUAAGAAUCACCAAAAUGAUGUUUAAUGACCCGAUAAUUCGAUCAAUGGACCAAGUUACCCUGGGGAUAACAGCGCAAUCUACUUCAAGAGCCCUUAUCGACAAGUAGGUUUACGACCUCGAUGUUGGAUCAGGG